GAAAUGCGAUAAGUAAUGUGAAUUGCAGAAUUCAGUGAAUCAUCGAAUCUUUGAACGCACCUUGCGCUCCUCGGUAUUCCUUGGAGCAUGCCUGUUUGAGUAUCAUGAAAUCUUCAAAGUAAAUCUUUUGUUAACUCAAUUGGUUUCUACUUUGGUAUUGGAGGUCUUUGCAGCUUCACACCUGCUCCUCUUUGUUCAUUAGCUGGAUCUCAGUGUUAUGCUUGGUUCCACUCGGCGUGAUAAGUUAUCUAUCGCUGAGGACACUGUAAAAGGUGGCCAAGGUAAAUGCAGAUGAACCGCUUCUAAUAGUCCAUUGACUUGGACAAUACUUUUUUGAUCUGAUCUCAAAUCAGGUAGGACUACCCGCUGAACUUAAGC
Molecule: unclassified non-coding RNA, 378 nt
Filed under: plant metagenome
Description: partial contains 5.8S ribosomal RNA, internal transcribed spacer 2, and large subunit ribosomal RNA
Rfam family: 5.8S ribosomal RNA (bases 1-105)
Source: RNAcentral